GCAAGUCGCGCGAUCCUUCGGGAUAGCGGCAAACGGGUGAGUAACGCGUAGGCAAUUUUCCUUAAAGACAGGCACAGUAACGCGAAAGCGUUAGUAAUUCCUGAUGUGGCCUCAGUAUCGCAUGGUACAGAGGUUAAAGGUGGGGAUUCUUCGGAACCUACCGCUUUAAGAUGAGCCUGCGUCCUAUCAGCUUGUUGGUGAGGUAAUGGCUCACCAAGGCGUAUGACGGGUAGCUGGUCUGAGAGGAUGAUC
This 252-nucleotide ribosomal RNA is filed under the name uncultured bacterium. RNAcentral describes it as "partial 16S ribosomal RNA". It matches the Rfam family "Bacterial small subunit ribosomal RNA", at positions 57 to 305 of the family's 1533-position model. The record is from RNAcentral.